CUGGCGGCAUGCCUAACACAUGCAAGUCGAACGGAACUUGUUGAAUGAAGUUUUCGGAUGGAUUUUAGCAAGUUUAGUGGCGGACGGGUGAGUAACGCGUGAGCAACCUGCCUUUCAGAGGGGGACAACAGUUGGAAACGACUGCUAAUACCGCAUAACGUAUCGAAGAGGCAUCUCUUUGAUACCAAAGAUUAUAUCGCUGAAAGAUGGGCUCGCGUACGAUUAGAUAGUUGGUGGGGUAACGGCCCACCAAGUCGACGAUUGGUAGCCGGACUGAGAGGUUGAUCGGCCACAUUGGGACUGAGACACGGCCCAGACUCCUACGGGAGGCAGCAGUGGGGGAUAUUGCACAAUGGGCGAAAGCCUGAUGCAGCGACGCCGCGUGAGGGAAGACGGUUUUCGGAUUGUAAACCUCUGUCUUCGGUGACGAAAAUGACGGUAGCCGAGGAGGAAGCCACGGCUAACUACGUG
Molecule: ribosomal RNA, 471 nt
Filed under: uncultured bacterium
Lineage: Bacteria
Description: bacterial SSU rRNA
Rfam family: Bacterial small subunit ribosomal RNA
Source: RNAcentral